CCUACGGGAGGCAGCAGUAGGGAAUCUUUCACAAUGGGCGAAAGCCUGAUGGAGCAACGCCGCGUGCAGGAUGAAGGCCUUCGGGUUGUAAACUGCUUUUAUAAGCGAGAAAUAUGAUGGUAACUUAUGAAUAAGGCUCGGCUAACUACGUGCCAGUAGCCGCGGUCAUACGUAGGAUCCGAGCAUUAUCCGGGGUGACUGGGUGUAAAGAGUUGCGUAGGUGGCAUAAUAAGUAGCUAGUGAAAUCUGGUGGCUCAACCAUUCAGACUAUUAGCUAAACUGUUAAGCUCGAGACCGUUAGGGGUAACUGGAAUUUCUAGUGUAGGAGUGAAAUCCGUAGAUAUUAGAAGGAACACCAAUAGCGUAGGCAGGUUGCUGGGACGGUUCUGACACUAAGGCACGAAAGCGUAGGGAGCAAACGGGAUUAGAUACCCGGGUAGUC
Molecule: ribosomal RNA, 442 nt
Filed under: uncultured bacterium
Lineage: Bacteria
Description: partial 16S ribosomal RNA
Rfam family: Bacterial small subunit ribosomal RNA
Source: RNAcentral